AUAGCUUGAUGACUCUCGACAACGGAUAUCUUGGCUCUCGCAUCGAUGAAGAACGUAGCGAAAUGCGAUACUUGGUGUGAAUUGCAGAAUCCCGUGAACCAUCGAGUCUUUGAACGCAAGUUGCGCCUGAAGCCUUUAGGUGGAAGGCAUGUCUGCUUGGGC
RNAcentral lists this ribosomal RNA (162 nucleotides) under Zostera muelleri. Its description in RNAcentral is "5.8S ribosomal RNA". It matches the Rfam family "5.8S ribosomal RNA". Rfam says of the family: 5.8S ribosomal RNA (5.8S rRNA) is a component of the large subunit of the eukaryotic ribosome. It is transcribed by RNA polymerase I as part of the 45S precursor that also contains 18S and 28S rRNA. Functionally, it is thought that 5.8S rRNA may be involved in ribosome translocation. Lineage: Eukaryota; Viridiplantae; Streptophyta; Magnoliopsida; Alismatales; Zosteraceae. The record is from RNAcentral. RNAcentral also lists the same sequence under 2 other names.